AGAGGAGCCUGUGGGCAGCUCCCACUCCAUACCAGUGAUUACACAUCUGCGUGGCCUUGCCUUUAUCUCACAGCACACCAAGAAGUUCUCAUGUGAACAUCCUCUCUGUUUAACGCAGAAAUAAUGAAUUGAGUUGUUUUCUUGUAAGAAAAUCCUAUAAAAGCUUGAAUGACCAGAGCAGACUAAUCCUUCCUUCUGGUGGGGUCUGCAGGGCAUGCUGCUACUCUCCGGUGCUGCACAACACGGAGUUCCCAGCAUCUAAAGGCAUACGCUGGACCACUAUGGGUGCCUAGCCGAUGGACCAAACCAGCCGUGAAGGAUUUGAAGAACAAUCAGAACACUGAUGCCCUCAGUCAGUCACUGAUUGGCCGCCAGCUGACAUCACAAGAGCAGCAGAUAUCACAAGAGCAGCAGAUGUUUCAAGACUGAAUCGUGUUAAAUCAUAGUCUGUGAGAGAAAUUCUGUAGAAGAUCUAAAAGAGUGUAGAGACUCCAUCUAACCGUAUAUAAAGUAAAUUGCAGUUGUGUGUUUACCCUUUCAGCAAAUUGCUUUCAUGCUUAGACUGCAUAUAAACCAGAGCACGUGUGUUAAAGGUGGUUAAAUAAUACUUUAAGAUAAAGUUUAGCCUGUGUGGUAAUUGUUAUAUUAGUAUAAAGUAUAAGUAUUUCCCCUUCAAGAGGCAGUGUAAGCAUAUUUGAAAGUUCAUUUAACGUUAAAGCCUUAACUGUGAUUCUGCAAGCAUGGUGUCAUUUGCAUGGAACAAACUGCUUAUGGUAAUUGUGCUGUGUAUAGUCCCAACUGUCUGCUAACUAACAUCCAAAAGCGACAGAACAUAUGGGUCACUCUGGCACACUUGACAGGCCAAAAAUCAAUGUGUUUGAGCCUAGCCACACCUGGAGAUCCUUUUCGCACCUGUCUCAUAGGAGUCCCUGAAUGGGAUCCUCAAGCAUUUAAAGGUUUAGUUAGUAAUGAGACUCGACUGAAUCGAUCAGCAAUGUUGCAAGAGUGCAACCGCACUAUUGGCCUCACAUCAAGACAACUUGACGCCUGCUGGCAAGCGAAAAUUAUUGAAGUUCUUAAUGUUCCCAUAGAGCCCCCAGAAGAAUUGGAUUUGUUAGGUUCCACCAAUACCUCAGGUGGAUGAAUAAUGUUUGAACCCCUGACAGAAAGCCACUCCAACAAAGUGAUGCAACACUGAGCUACAGUUAACCCUAUAGUUGAUCUCAUUACUAACAUUGAAAGUAAAGCUUUUUAUUCAUGGUGCAAUCUUACAGGACAAUUACCAAAGCAAUUACCUAGUUCAAUAUUCCUAAUUUGUGGAGAUAGAGCAUGGAAUGGAAUUCCUGCUAGUCCACAUGGAGGACCCUGUUAUCUUGGGAAACUUACUUUGUUCCAUCCAAGCUUGCAUCAAUUGCUGAAUGUAACUGAUAAAAUAAAAAACAUCAAACGGUCAAAGCGAAGCCUGAAUGAAUUACAAUGUGAUGAUUUUAAAGAGCCAGACUUUUGGAAUCAUGGUAUAAUAUGGGCAGCCUCCUUCUUCAUUCCAGGAGCAGCUGCUGCUAAAGGAUUAGCAACUCGAAAAAGGCUCGCUUGCUGGACUAGAAAAGAAUUGAACUUAACAUCAACAAUGUUAAGUGAACUUUUAGCUGAUGUGAGUAGUGUACAUCAUGCAAUAUUGCAAAAUCGAGCUGCAAUUGACUUCUUACUCUUAGCACAAGGACAUGGUUGUGAAGAGUUUGAAGGCAUGUGCUGCUUGAAUCUUAGUGAUCAUUCAGUUUCCAUCCAUAAGCAACUACAACAGCUACAGGAUGGGUUACAUGCUCUGAAAGAAGAUAGUGACCCCAUUGGAAGUUGGUUUGCCAGCUGGGGCAUCACUGGAUGGUUGAGGCCUCUUGUGCUAGAAGGGGGACGGAUUUUACUUAUGGCGUUAAUUGCAAUGAUGUUUUUAUGUUGUAAGUUAUCUUGUCUUCGUAGAAAUGUAGAACGAGUUGCAUCCAAACCCUGGCUUGUGCAAAAAGAGAUAGGGGGAAUUGUAGAUGAUUUUUUAACAGAAGGUGGACAUGAUAUAUUAGUAAAGGCCUGUCUGCACAAACCAGCCUUUGGUAUAAGUCGUGAUAUUAAAGGCUAAAGUCCUUGAAACUUUCCUGCAAGAGAGAAAAUAAAGCAAAACAAUAUCCUUUUGUAUGAUAGAAAAAAUGUAAACCUGUGUGUAUUAGCCAAUAGUAACUUGCUUAGUGCGUGGACCCUGUAAAACCCUAUAAAAGGUGUGCUAAAGAUAGAAAUAAAUAAGCGUUCACUUUUACUUCUGUGAACACUCGUGAAUAGCCUGAGUGGUUUCUCAAUAUAGAAGCAAUAAGAGAGCAUCCAAUCUAUGUAUCUAUGGAUGAGCUUUAAAGCCUUUUAUCCUGGAUACAGACAGAAUUCCCAGACAUGUGUGAUAAAUGUAACUUGGGAUAAAAAUUCGUGAAAGAAUAAAAUAAGCAUGUAAUUGUA
Long non-coding RNA from Parus major (Great Tit), 2493 nucleotides. RefSeq lists it as uncharacterized. Lineage: Eukaryota; Metazoa; Chordata; Aves; Passeriformes; Paridae. The transcript has 2 exons. The record is from RefSeq and is a predicted model, not a curated record.